GAGUUUGAUCGUGGCUCAGGAUGAACGCUGGCGGCGUGCCUAAUACAUGCAAGUCGAACGAACAGAUAAGGAGCUUGCUCCUUUGACGUUAGCGGCGGACGGGUGAGUAACACGUGGGUAACCUACCUAUAAGACUGGGAAUAACUCCGGGAAACCGGGGCUAAUGCCGGAUAACAUGUUGAACCGCAUGGUUCUACAGUGAAAGACGGUCUUGCUGUCACUUAUAGAUGGACCCGCGCCGUAUUAGCUAGUUGGUGGGGUAACGGCCUACCAAGGCGACGAUACGUAGCCGACCUGAGAGGGUGAUCGGCCACACUGGAACUGAGACACGGUCCAGACUCCUACGGGAGGCAGCAGUAGGGAAUCUUCCGCAAUGGGCGAAAGCCUGACGGAGCAACGCCGCGUGAGUGAUGAAGGUCUUCGGAUCGUAAAGCUCUGUUGUUAGGGAAGAACAAAUGUGUAAGUAACUGUGCAUAUCUUGACGGUACCUAACCAGAAAGCCACGGCUAACUACGUGCCAGCCGCCGCCGUAACA
RNAcentral lists this ribosomal RNA (535 nucleotides) under uncultured microorganism. Its description in RNAcentral is "bacterial SSU rRNA". It matches the Rfam family "Bacterial small subunit ribosomal RNA", at positions 9 to 525 of the family's 1533-position model. The record is from RNAcentral.